GAUGAACGCUGGCGGCGUGCUUAACACAUGCAAGUCGAGCGAGUGAGUUCUUCGGAACAAUCUAGCGGCGGACGGGUGAGUAACACGUGGGCAACCUGCCUCAUAGAGGGGAAUAGCCUUCCGAAAGGAAGAUUAAUACCGCAUAACAUCGUUGAAGGGCAUCCUUCGAUGAUCAAAGGAGCAAUCCGCUAUGAGAUGGGCCCGCGGCGCAUUAGCUAGUUGGUGAGGUAACGGCUCACCAAGGCGACGAUGCGUAGCCGACCUGAGAGGGUGAUCGGCCACAUUGGGACUGAAACACGGCCCAGACCCCUACGGGAGGCAGCAGUGGGGAAUAUUGCACAAUGGGGGAAACCCUGAUGCAGCAACGCCGCGUGAGUGAUGACGGCCUUCGGGUUGUAAAGCUCUGUCUUUGGGGACGAUAAUGACGGUACCCAAGGAGGAAGUCACGGCUAACUACGUGCCAGCAGCCGCAGUAA
RNAcentral lists this ribosomal RNA (476 nucleotides) under uncultured bacterium. RNAcentral describes it as "partial 16S ribosomal RNA". It matches the Rfam family "Bacterial small subunit ribosomal RNA", at positions 28 to 523 of the family's 1533-position model. The record is from RNAcentral.